UUUUUCUUCACAGGGAGAAGAGAAUUUAUCCAAAGAUUAAAACUUGAAGCAACCUUGAAUGUGCAUGAUGGCUGUGUGAACACAAUUUGCUGGAAUGAUACAGGAGAAUAUAUUUUAUCUGGUUCAGAUGAUACCAACCUGGUAAUUACUAAUCCUUAUAGCAGAAAGGUUUUAACAACCAUUCGCUCAGGACACAGGGCAAAUAUUUUUAGUGCAAAAUUCUUGCCAUGCACCAAUGACAAACAGAUUGUAUCUUGUUCUGGAGAUGGAGUAAUUUUUUACACUAACGUUGAACAAGAUGCAGAGACUAACAGACAAUGCCAGUAUACGUGCCACUAUGGAACUACU
Non-coding RNA from Tinamus guttatus (white-throated tinamou), 348 nucleotides. Lineage: Eukaryota; Metazoa; Chordata; Aves; Tinamiformes; Tinamidae. The record is from RefSeq and is a predicted model, not a curated record.